CGCACGGUGGCUUAGUGGUUAGCACUUUCACCUUACACCUCCAGUGUCGGGGGUUCGAUUCCCGCCGGGGCCG
Ameiurus melas (black bullhead) is the source of this 73-nucleotide non-coding RNA. Lineage: Eukaryota; Metazoa; Chordata; Actinopteri; Siluriformes; Ictaluridae. The record is from the annotation of a GenBank genome assembly.